Spea bombifrons (plains spadefoot toad) is the source of this 177-nucleotide long non-coding RNA. RefSeq lists it as uncharacterized. The transcript is spliced from 2 exons. The record is from RefSeq and is a predicted model, not a curated record. NCBI's taxonomy places the organism in Eukaryota, Metazoa, Chordata, Amphibia, Anura, Pelobatidae.
GGGUGGUAUCGCUGUACUCGGGAGAUGUUGCUGAACAUAUAUUGGGGUGUUUUAAAAUUCUAGCAUUUGAAAUACCCUGGGGUGUCUAGUUUUCAAAAAUAUAUGAUUUGAUGGGGUAAAUUGCAUUGGCCGGCUUCAAAGAUACCUGAAAUGGCACAUGGGGGGAAGAAUUACCAG